Molecule: ribosomal RNA, 440 nt
Filed under: uncultured bacterium
Lineage: Bacteria
Description: partial 16S ribosomal RNA
Rfam family: Bacterial small subunit ribosomal RNA
Source: RNAcentral
CCUACGGGAGGCAGCAGUGGGGGAUAUUGCACAAUGGGGGGAACCCUGAUGCAGCGACGCCGCGUGGGUGAAGGAGCGUUUCGGCGCGUAAAGCCCUAUCGGCAGGGAAGAAGCUGACGGUACCUGACCAAGAAGCCCCGGCUAACUACGUGCCAGCAGCCGCGGUAAUACGUAGGGGGCAAGCGUUAUCCGGAUUUACGGGGUGGAAAGGGGGCGCAGACGGCAAUGCAAGCCAGGAGUGAAAGCCCGGGGCCCAACCCCGGGACUGUUCUUGGAACUGCAUGGCUGGAGUACAGGAGGGGCAGGCGGAAUUCCUAGUGUAGCGGUGAAAUGCGUAGAUAUUAGGAGGAACACCGGUGGCGAAGGCGGCCUGCUGGACUGUGACUGACGUUGAGGCCCGAAGGCGUGGGGAGCAAACAGGAUUAGAUACCCGAGUAGUC